CCUACGGGGUGCAGCAGUGAGGAAUAUUGGUCAAUGGACGAGAGUCUGAACCAGCCAAGUAGCGUGAAGGAUGACUGCCCUAUGGGUUGUAAACUUCUUUUAUAUGGGAAUAAAAUGUUCCACGUGUGGGAUUUUGUAUGUACCAUAUGAAUAAGGAUAGGCUAACGCCGUGCCAGCAGCCGCGGUAAUACGGAGGAUCCGAGCGUUAUCCGGAUUUAUUGGGGUGAAAGGGAGCGUAGGUGGAUUGUUAAGUCAGUUGUGAAAGUUUGCGGCUCAACCGUAAAAUUGCAGUUGAAACUGGCAGUCUUGAGUACAGUAGAGGUGGGCGGAAUUCGUGGUGUAGCUGUGAAAUGCUUAGAUAUCACGAAGAACUCCGAUUGCGAAGGCAGUUCACUGGACUGCAACUGACACUGAGGCUCGAAAGUGUGGGUAUCAAACAGGAUUAGAGACCCUGGUAGUC
This 460-nucleotide ribosomal RNA is filed under the name uncultured bacterium. RNAcentral's name for it is "partial 16S ribosomal RNA". It matches the Rfam family "Bacterial small subunit ribosomal RNA", at positions 338 to 795 of the family's 1533-position model. The record is from RNAcentral.